RNAcentral lists this long non-coding RNA (2347 nucleotides) under Marmota monax (woodchuck). Lineage: Eukaryota; Metazoa; Chordata; Mammalia; Rodentia; Sciuridae. The record is from RNAcentral.
CUAAAUAGAAUAUAAAAAGGGCUGGGGACGGGGCUCAGGGGUUAAGUGACUCUGGGUUCAAUCCCUGGGACCAAAAAAAAAAAAAAAAUGGGUGACCAGUCAAACCCAGAUAAAGGAGUCUUUGCUUAGCCCUGGACUUCCUUCCUCAUAUCCUGAGAAAGGGAAGUGAUUCCUGUCCCCACUGAGCUCCAGAGAAGCUAACACACAGCCCUUAAUCUGGAGUCCCAGCCCUGAGUGUUUGGAUUUCUUCUUUUAUUAAGAAACAAUUCCCAUGACCUCAAAUUGGCCACCGUAAGACACACGUCUGUUGUCUUCAGCUUACUCACAACGCUGCGCAGCCAUCCCCUCUGACUGCAAGACACCAGAGUGAUGUCACCCAGAGUGAUGCCAUGUCUUGGGCCCCACCUUUCCCCUGUGCUCUGGGAACUUCCUCUUGACUGUGCGCUUCAGGGCAUCUGUCAGUUCUGAACGUUUCCUAGAAGUGGAAUCACACAGUAGGGGGUGUUUUUUUGAGGGGUCCCAGGGAUUGAAUCCAGGGGCCCCCGACCCCUGAGCCCCAUCCCAACUCUAUUCUGUAUUUUAUCGAGAGACAGGGUCUCACUGAGUUGCUCAGGGCCUCGCUUUUGCUGAGGCUGGCCUCCAACUUGGUAUCCUCCUGCCUUAGCCUCCUAAGCCGCUGGGAUUGUUGUCAAAAGCUGGGUCCUUGUUGCUGAUGCCAAUCCAAUAAUGAACACCCAUCCUGUGGGUGUCGAGUGGGAUCUCAGUGGGGUUAAGUUUUCAUUGUCUUCAUGACCAGUUCUGCUCAGCGUCUUUCCGCGGGCUCACAGCCGGCUCUAUGUGGUCUUCUCAUUUCUGUUCUAAAAAUUAGUGACCCGUGACAGCAGGUAAAUGGAGCAUGAUGUCUCAUUCCUCUGGGUGUCCAUGAUGUAGGCUCACAUUGGUCGUGUAGUCAUGUAGCCACAGAAGGUGACCAUGUCCAAUUCAUUCUGCUCUCCUUUCUACCCCCAGAUCCCCUCCCCUCCCUUCACUCCCCUCCACCUGACCCAGAGCACCUCUCUUCUUCCCUAAUGCCCCCACCUUAUUGUGAAUCAGCAACCACAUAUCAGAGGAAACAUUCACCCCUGUUUUUGGGGGGGAUUGGCUUAUUUUGCUUAGCAAGAUAGUCUCCAGGUCCAUCCAUUUUCCAGCAAAUGCCACCAUUUCAUUCUUCUUUAAGGCUGCCUAAUAUUCCACUGUGUAUCUGGACCACACUUUCUUUAUCUGUAGCUAGUCUUUGAAGAAAUAUCUCUUCAAAUCCUUUGCCCUUUUCUUUUCCAUUCCUCCCAAUUCUAUUCAAGGUGCUGGGGCCUGAGCCCAGGGCCUCACCUAAGCAGGCUCCACCACUUAGCUCUACCCCAGCCCCCUGCACUCACUGCCUGCUGUUACAAGAAUCAGGUUCCUGACAGAGGAGUGUGCUCAGGGAUCACAGGACAGAGACGAGAAGGAUGGCAGUGCAGGUGGUCACUCACACAGCCCGGGUGCAAGCCUGGGAUGCCCACUCCCAGAGUUGCCUGCCUUCACAGUGUCAUUGCGUUCUAGAUCUUGAAGUCACGCAUGCCACUUACAUAGUUUGUGUGUCCCAUAUUACAGCCUGUGUAUUCCACUCAUCAGUGAGUCAUGACAAUCUUUUUUUUGGGUACGUGGAUGGGAUCCUUGUGCUGCACAGUGUUUCCACACUCUGAUGUUGUCACAUUCCUGAUAAGACUGUCCUUAUUUUUAUUUUUUUAUUUUUUGGGGGAAGGGUACCAGGGAUUGAACUCAGGAGCCCUCGACCCCUGAGCCCCAUCCUCAGAACUUUUUAUAUUUUAUUUAGAGAUAGGGUCUUGCUGAGUUGCUUAGGGGCUUGUUAAGUCGCUGAGGCUGGCCUCCACCUUGCAAUCCUCCUGCCUCAGCCUCCUGAGCUGCUGGUGUGCUCCCGCCCUGGCCUCCUCCUAUGUUUACAGCUACUUUCUUCGGUCGUUUUUGAACAGCCCCUCCCUGUCACUUGGCUGCUGCUUCUAUUGAUAUAACCUUUUGACCACCCAAGAGGAAAGAGCCCUCCCAGCAGCCGCUCACGUCACCUGGCCUUCGGUCACACUGAGACCUCUGGAUUCACUGGAGUGUGCCAUUCCGUUUCAUGUUCAGGCUGAGGGCAGCAAGCACACUAGUAACCCAGAAAAAUGUUAGAAGUCUCUUUUCCUCUGCAUAUUAAAGCAAUCGUUUUUCACCAAUCGCCAUGGCAACUUUUGUUUUUAAAUCAUAGUGCUGGGACCAGGCGCGGUGGUGCAGCCUAUCAUCCCAGCUACUCUGGAGGCUGAAGCAGGAGGAU